GUGGGGAAUAUUCCGCAAUGGACGAAAGUCUGACGGAGCAACGCCGCGUGAGUGAUGAAGGUUUUCGGACUGUAAAGCUCUGUUGUUUGGGACGAAAGUGCCUGUUGCGAACAGUUACGGGUAUUGACGGUACUAAACGAGGAAGCCACGGCUAACUACGUGCCAGCAGCCGCGGUAAUACGUAGGUGGCAAGCGUUGUCCGGAAUUAUUGGGCGUAAAGAGCAUGUAGGCGGGAAUCUAAGUCUGUUGUUAAAAUGCGGGGCUCAACCCCGUAUUGCGAUGGAAACUGGGUUUCUUGAGUGCAGGAGAGGAAAGGGGAAUUCCCAGUGUAGCGGUGAAAUGCGUAGAUAUUGGGAGGAACACCAGUGGCGAAGGCGCCUUUCUGGACUGUGUCUGACGCUGGGAUGCGAAAGCCAGGGUAGCGAACGGGAUUAGAAACCCGGGUAGUCC
RNAcentral lists this ribosomal RNA (450 nucleotides) under uncultured bacterium. RNAcentral describes it as "partial 16S ribosomal RNA". It matches the Rfam family "Bacterial small subunit ribosomal RNA", at positions 354 to 796 of the family's 1533-position model. The record is from RNAcentral.